Capsella rubella is the source of this 767-nucleotide long non-coding RNA. RefSeq lists it as uncharacterized. The record is from RefSeq and is a predicted model, not a curated record. The transcript is spliced from 5 exons. NCBI's taxonomy places the organism in Eukaryota, Viridiplantae, Streptophyta, Magnoliopsida, Brassicales, Brassicaceae.
GAGACAAAACCCUAAUUUUCAUUCUCCUUCUCUCUCUCGCUCACGUUCACCGCUAGUUCUGUAGCGGAAUCAAUAUUGGAUGAAUCAAUCAGUAGUGUUGUGGGGAUGAUGGUUGACUUUUUUUAUGGAUUCUUAGCGAUUGCGAUGGUUCGACUUCAUUAACGGAGAGAUGGAGGAUGAGCGGAGUUUUGGAUUGAAUCGUUCCAGUUCCUGAAAUUUAAGCAAAGGAUCAUUCAAGAUAGAGACUAUGGACCUCUCAGCUUGAACAUUCUACAAACCAGAGACUUCUUCUGUGGAAUUUGAAGUUUAUGAGGCUGGUUAAUUGGCUUGGAAUGACUAUGUUCCUGAUGGUAUAACGGAAGUGAGACUGGUAUAAUAGAAGUGAGGAUGCCCAGAUUUUUAAAUUCUCGACGCUCAUAUUCAUCAAGCUGAAAAAGCAUGGUCUCGAGGAUCAAUAUGUAGAAGUAUGACAUACAUGGAGCAUGUGGAUUUUUUAAUUUAUAUUCUGCAUAUGAGAGAUAAGGUGGCUGUUCUUCAGCUCUUAAAAAUCAGCAUAAGACUUUCAGGUUACUCUUCCUCAUAUUUCCAUUAUAAGAACUGGAAUAUCUUUCAAAAUCAUGCAUAUUGCCUCUGCUUAAGUUUCUUUCUUUCUUGUAUGUAUAUAUCCUUAUUAGCAUACUUUCUCCAUGAAGGAAGAUUGAAUUCCUAUAAGCUGUUACUGUUAAGUUUGAUUUCUAAUCCAAAUCAAACUAUUCUGUUUUAAGUUA